RNAcentral lists this ribosomal RNA (492 nucleotides) under uncultured bacterium. RNAcentral's name for it is "partial 16S ribosomal RNA". It matches the Rfam family "Bacterial small subunit ribosomal RNA", at positions 29 to 507 of the family's 1533-position model. The record is from RNAcentral.
AGUGAACGCUGGCGGUAGGCCUAACACAUGCAAGUCGAACGGCAGCACAGUAAGAGCUUGCUCUUACGGGUGGCGAGUGGCGGACGGGUGAGGAAUACAUCGGAAUCUACUUUUUCGUGGGGGAUAACGUAGGGAAACUUACGCUAAUACCGCAUACGACCUACGGGUGAAAGCAGGGGAUCUUCGGACCUUGCGCGAUUGAAUGAGCCGAUGUCGGAUUAGCUAGUUGGCGGGGUAAAGGCCCACCAAGGCGACGAUCCGUAGCUGGUCUGAGAGGAUGAUCAGCCACACUGGAACUGAGACACGGUACAGACUCCUACGGUAGGCAGCAGUGGGGAAUAUUGGACAAUGGGCGCAAGCCUGAUCCAGCCAUACCGCGUGGGUGAAGAAGGCCUUCGGGUUGUAAAGCCCUUUUGUUGGGAAAGAAAAGCAGCAGGUUAAUACCCCGCUGUUCUGACGGUACCCAAAGAAUAAGCACCGGCUAACUUCGUG